GACAGCUUGGCCGAGUGGUUAAGGCGAUAGACUAGAAAUCUAUUGGGGUAACCCGCGUGAGUUCAAAUCUCACAGCGGUCG
This is a transfer RNA of Phytophthora infestans T30-4, 81 nucleotides long. It matches the Rfam family "tRNA". Rfam says of the family: Transfer RNA (tRNA) molecules are approximately 80 nucleotides in length. Lineage: Eukaryota; Oomycota; Peronosporomycetes; Peronosporales; Peronosporaceae. The record is from Rfam.